Molecule: unclassified non-coding RNA, 240 nt
Filed under: plant metagenome
Description: partial contains small subunit ribosomal RNA, internal transcribed spacer 1, and 5.8S ribosomal RNA
Rfam family: Eukaryotic small subunit ribosomal RNA (bases 1-52)
Source: RNAcentral
GGAGUAAAAGUCUAACAAGGUUUCCGUAGGUGAACCUGCGGAAAGAUCAUUACAGAGUUCAUGCCCUCACGGGUAGAUCUCCCACCCUUGAAUAUUUAUACCUUAGUUGCUUUGGCAGGCCGUGGAAACACCAUGGGCUCCGGCUUAUGCGUGCCUGCCAGAGGAAACAAACUCUGUUUUUAGUGAUGUCUGAGUACUAUAUAAUAGUUAAAACUUUCAACAACGGAUCUCUUGGUUCUG